GAGGGCGGAGCGUGCGCAGAGGACAGAGGCGUAGCAGAGGGCGGGAGCUCCGAGGCGGGAAAAGACGAAAUGGAGCGCCAGGGCGUACGUGAGGUGGAGGUGCCUCCCGUGGACCUAAAUGACCAGGAGCCCCAGGCGGUUGUGGAGAGCGGGGAGCAUCAGCAGAACGAGAACCACGAGGAAGAGGCUGGCGCCGCGGCAGCCAGUGCCAACUACCAGCUGACAGGACCCUUCUCCUCCCUGGAGUCUAGCAUUGCAAUCCUGAAGAAGAAAGCCCAGGAGCUGAUUGAAAACAUCAAUGAGAGCAGGCAGAAGGACCAUGCACUCAUGACCAACUUCAGGGACAACCUCAAGAAGAAGGGUAUAACAGUCCUGACUGACCUCGAACUCACUGAGAUUUGCCUGCCUCUGACUUGGAUUAAAAGUGUACACCACUGGGGCUGGAGAGAUGGCUCAGAGGUUAAGAGCACUGUUCUUCCAGAGGUCCUGAGUUCAAUUCCCAGCAACCACAUGGUGGCUCACAACCAUCUGCGAUGAGAUCUGGCGCCCUCUUCUGGCCUGCAAGUAUACAAAGUGUACACCACUGCCGCCCGGCCACAUAAGCAAUUUCUAAAGUGGGAAAACCAGGUCUCGGAUCUGACAGAGAAAUUGGAGGAGAGGAUGUACCAGGUGUACACCAACCACAGCAAGAUCAUUCAGGAAAGACUCCAAGAAUUCACUCAGAAGAUGACAAAGAUCAGCCUUCUAGAAAUGGAGCUCAA
Alexandromys fortis (reed vole) is the source of this 761-nucleotide RNA transcript. It is a transcript of the gene named synaptonemal complex central element protein 2, with no coding region annotated. The record is from RefSeq and is a predicted model, not a curated record. The transcript has 5 exons. NCBI's taxonomy places the organism in Eukaryota, Metazoa, Chordata, Mammalia, Rodentia, Cricetidae.